AUUGAACGCUGGCGGCAGGCCUAACACAUGCAAGUCGAGCGGAUGAAGGGAGCUUGCUCCUGGAUUCAGCGGCGGACGGGUGAGUAAUGCCUAGGAAUCUGCCUGGUAGUGGGGGAUAACGUCCGGAAACGGGCGCUAAUACCGCAUACGUCCUGAGGGAGAAAGUGGGGGAUCUUCGGACCUCACGCUAUCAGAUGAGCCUAGGUCGGAUUAGCUAGUUGGUGGGGUAAAGGCCUACCAAGGCGACGAUCCGUAACUGGUCUGAGAGGAUGAUCAGUCACACUGGAACUGAGACACGGUCCAGACUCCUACGGGAGGCAGCAGUGGGGAAUAUUGGACAAUGGGCGAAAGCCUGAUCCAGCCAUGCCGCGUGUGUGAAGAAGGUCUUCGGAUUGUAAAGCACUUUAAGCUGGGAGGAAGGGCAGUAAGUUAAUUCCUUGCUGUUUUGACGUUACCAACAGAAUAAGCACCGGCUAACUUCGUG
RNAcentral lists this ribosomal RNA (484 nucleotides) under uncultured bacterium. Its description in RNAcentral is "partial 16S ribosomal RNA". It matches the Rfam family "Bacterial small subunit ribosomal RNA", at positions 30 to 507 of the family's 1533-position model. The record is from RNAcentral.